RNAcentral lists this ribosomal RNA (421 nucleotides) under uncultured bacterium. RNAcentral's name for it is "bacterial SSU rRNA". It matches the Rfam family "Bacterial small subunit ribosomal RNA", at positions 355 to 774 of the family's 1533-position model. The record is from RNAcentral.
UGGGGAAUCUUCCGCAAUGGGCGAAAGCCUGACGGAGCAACGCCGCGUGAGUGAAGAAGGCCUUCGGGCCGUAAAGCUCUGUUGCCGGGGAAGAGUGCUAUGGGGGAACCUGUAGAGGGACGGUACCCGGCGAGGAAGCCGCGGCUAACUACGUGCCAGCAGCCGCGGUAAUACGUAGGCGGCAAGCGUUGUCCGGAAUCAUUGGGCGUAAAGGGGGCGCAGGCGGGAACAUAAGUCUUUCCUGAAAGUUCGGGGCUCAGCCCCGUGAUGGGAAGGAAACUGUGUUUCUUGAGCGCGGGAGAGGGAAGCGGGAUUCCUGGUGUAGCGGUGAAAUGCGUAGAUAUCAGGAAGAACACCAGUGGCGAAGGCGGCCUUCUGGACCGUAACUGACGCUGAGACACGAAAGCGUGGGUAGCAAACA